This 3699-nucleotide long non-coding RNA is filed under the name Nicotiana tabacum (common tobacco). RNAcentral describes it as "long non-coding RNA (NTAB_LNC006288)". The record is from RNAcentral. Lineage: Eukaryota; Viridiplantae; Streptophyta; Magnoliopsida; Solanales; Solanaceae.
AAAAAAACGAGAAGACCUAAAGCUAACCUAACAAAAAGAAGCAUCAGCCGUGAAUACACAAAAUGGGGGAACCUAGAGCUAACACCAAGAAAAAUGCCUAAAAACCUAGGGACUAAGAUUCUGACAAUCCGCCGUUUUCCCUGAAAACGAGAACUCUCCAUCAUUAUGCUCCUUCUUCAACCAAACGACUACUCUUGUAACCAUCGCCGUUCACACAACCCAGCGACCACCCAUCAACCUUCAGACACCCAAAAGGCCCUUCCAACAACCCUUCCAUAUCCUCACUCUAAAACGAGCAACCCCGGCCAGAACCCCAUCUCCCAGUCGUCUCCUCUUCUUCUUCAACCAAGACAACACCAAAAACAAAACCUAACUCAAAAACCUAGCUGCAGCCAAAUAUAUGAUCUUUUAAUAAUUGAAUGUUAAGCUAAAGGUUGAAAAUAGAGGGUUAGUUCAUGCGCUGAAAAACUAGAAACCAACAAAGUUCUUGCCACUCCUCUCAAUCGUCGAACUAACAGAGGAAGGGAGAACGACAAAGAUUCAUUUGUUUCCCUCUUUGAUGGGUUUGACAACGGCAACCUGAUUGAAGCUUUCUAAUAUUAAUUGGUUUACCUUACCAUGAACAAACUGGAUUAGGAAAUGAGUAAUAUUUAUAUUCAAAUCCUAAAAGUCAAGAAAAGUAGUAGUUUCGGUAGUACCAUGAUGGCAAAUUGUUUCCUAAGAGAACGAGUUCAGUUCGUCGAAUUUCGGAUCUCGUCGAUUAUUGGAUUUUUCGGUGAGGUUCAAUCGAACGAUGACAUUCGAGGUUAUUUUCAUGGUUUUUGGAUCAAUCUCUUGCUCUUGUUGCAUUUUUUCCAGUCAGAUUUCAAUCGUCGGAUUUGAUGUAACUGAAUUCUUGUUAAUAGAAAGGAAAGCUUGCCAAGGUCCAUUUCUUUUCACUAAUCCUACUUGAUUUCUCUUUAUGUUCCCUUUUUUCUAAUAUCUUUUUUUUGGUUUGAUUGCUUCUUCAUUGUUUUGCUACAUAAGUAAUUCAUGAUUUAUAGUCAACUACUUGAAAAUACUACUGUAUUAGCUAAGAUGAAGAGGCCAACAUCAUAUUCUUCGUUGUUUACCUUUUAACUCUUUGGCUUCCUUCUAAAUGGUUGGUUGAUUGCUAUAUUCAAUUAAUUCCAUGUAUGUGAUGGUUAGUUAAUAAAGACAUAGCACCAAUUCAUUAAUUAAAAGAAGGAUAAAGGAAUGGACAUUAGUUGGGUCGUGGGAGUGGUUUUAGAUGAGAUAGGAAUCUGGUUAAUUGUGAAUUAAACGGGUUUGAGCUUUGGUCACAGUCAACACAUGUCAAUUGGGUUUAACAUUAAUUUUACCUUUAUUUUGUUUGUUUAACCGAUAGGAGCAUACUUAGGCCGACCACACUUGGGGAAGGCAAACUUUUCGGAGGGUAAUAAAUCAUCGUGAUUAUGGGUACGGUUCCCGUGGCAUGGUCACGAUACGUUAUAAAUUAGGGUGUGCAUUUCAUGUGACCCGGCUCCAAUUUCCAAUAAGGUUAAAUAGAUCACGUCGUGAACUGCAGGUGCAUUUCAUGUAGCAUGGCUUACGAUGUGUUUUGAAUAACUUUGAAUUUUCCUGCAAUAUUAGAAGCGUCUAAAAGGUUAAAAAGUGCACAUAAGUUUAAAAGUGUUUUAAAAUCAGAUAAAUAGUCCAAUAAUAAUAGUUGAGAGACCUUGCUAGAACCACGAAACUCGAGAAUUCCUAACACCUUCUCCUGGGUUAACAGAAUUCCAUACCCUGAUUUCUAUGUUCGCAGACUGUAAAACAGAGUCAAUCUUUCCUCGAUUCGGGAUUUGAACCGGUGACUUGGGACACCAUAAAUUAUCCCAAGUGGUGACUCUGAAUAAAUAAAUAAUCCCGUUUCGAUUGUCACUUAAAUUUGACAAAACUUCCUUAAUACCCUUCUGGUGGUAGAAAAAGGAGGUGUGAUAGCUCUGGCGACUCUGCUGCGGAUCGAACCCAAAAUCUCCGAUUCAGGGUUCAGAAUUCGAGCUUAGAAUAACUGUUAUAGUUGGCUUUUCUUUAUUAUCUGAUUUUUGUAUGUUUGAGCCUAAUGUGCUAAUUACCACUUUUUACCGCUUUGAUAUUGUUUGGAUUGUAUAUAAAUUGUUACAAAAUCCUCCUCUCUCUGAGUCUUCUAAAUCAUCUGGGAAGUGUGCACUUCGUGUGACUUCUCUUCUAUUAGAGUCAUAUCCCAAUUUAGAACGAGGUUCGGACAAGUUGCAAAGCCGGUGAAGCUUCUGAUUCUCGGUACGCUGCCCUCCCUCGGCUCGAGCUGUCCGCUCCGGUAAGCCAGGUCUAGAACAAAUAAAUCCAGGUUUUUAAACCUAGAAUAACAUAGCGUCAUGCCGGAUCCCUAGUAGGAACGUUUGUUGCAUCACGUGCAUUUGACUUAGGGGACUCAACACAUAAGUUGGGUCCGUCUAGGACAAGUAUACCCAAAAAUAAAAGACCAUCCUGAUGCAUCUAAUGUGAUACAUGUUGCAAUCUUCAAGGGUAAAAGGGGUCAUUUGGCGGACCAAUGAUGGUUGAGGGUAAAUGAGAAAGAAAAGAGGGUGAAGUGUGAAAAUAAAGCAAGUACGGCCCAGUUAUGUUUUUCUUUCACAUUUAUUUUAAGAAAAAGACCAAAACAAAAAUGAAAAAUCCAUAAAGAUAUUGCACUUUCCCAUCAUUUUCCAAAAAAUAAAUGAAAAAGAAAAAAGAAAAAAUACAAAAAGUGUUUACAUGUUUCAUCAUUUUUCAAAAAAAGACAAAAAAUAUAUUUUUUCUAAAUUUGUUGUUUUUUUUAAUUCUCGCCCGUAUCCAAUCUUUCCGAACUACGCGAACCUAAUUCUUGUCUCUCGGGGCAUGAUACGUAGGCAACCCACGUAGGGUUCGGUCUUCCUUGUAAGUCUUAGGUUCUUGGCUUCGCGGAGUCUUGGCCAAAUCUUGUAUGUCUAGCCACUUUUGGCCACAUCGGUCAUUUUGCAAAAUAUGACUAUUUUCGUAAAGUGGUUUGUUUAAUUGUGUUUGGAGAGUCUUCAAUCCACAAUUAGGUGUCUCUUCACUUUAAGGCCCAUCCUUGUCAAAUUUGCGUGUCUAGCCGCUUUUGGCCACAUUGGCCAUUGUUGCAAAUGGGGUCAUAUUCGCAAAAGUGGUUCAGUGACCCAUGUUUUUGAGUUCUAAGUCCACAACAAGGUGUUCUCUCUGUUUAAGGUCCAUUGUGUUGAAUUUUCAUGCUUAGCCAUUUUUGUCCACAUAGACCAUUUUUAUAAAAUGGGUCAUUUCUGCAAAGUAAUUUUUCCAUGCCUUAGAGGUCACUUUUGUCGAGUUGAAAUCCUAGCCACCUUUUGGCCACAUUAGCCAUUUUGCAAAAUAGCCUCAAUCAUGUCUUGCAUGCGUCUAAUAGGGAGUGUUAUUCUCUCACAUAGUGUUCUAAGUCUUUAACUCUAUUUGGUUUUAGUUUUUCAUACAAGUGUGGAUCUACUUACCGGAGAUUGAGCAUGACAGGUACCCCGAGACCAUCAAGUCAGGACCGAUGCAUCCAGGAGUUGCUUAAGGAGAUUUUUUUAUGUUUGAGUCUGUUUUUAUGUAUUGUCUUGUAAUUUAUAGUCAUGUUCAAUUGUACUGAUAUUUUUAGAUGGUGUCAGAUUUGUUGUAGUAUAGUUGAGUUUG